GAUGAACGCUGGCGGCGUGCCUAAUACAUGCCAGUCGAGCGAACGGACGAGAAGCUUGCUUUUCUGAUGUUAGCGGCGGACGGGUGAGUAACACGUGGAUAACCUACCUAUCAGACUGGGAUAACUUCGGGAAACCGGCGCUAAUCCCGGAUAAUAUUUUGAACCGCAUGGUUCAAAAGUGAAAGACGGUCUUGCUGUCACUUAUAGAUGGAUCCGCGCUGCAUUAGCUAGUUGGUAAGGUAACGGCUUACCAAGGCAACGAGGCAUAGCCGACCGGAGAGAGGGAUAGGCGACACUGGAACGUGGACAGCGACAAGGGUACUAAGAGAGGCAGCAGUAGGCAACGGUCCGCAAUGGUCGAAAGCAUUGCGGAGCAGCGGCGCGUGAGUGAUAAAGGUCUUCGGAUCGUAAAGCUCGGUUAUUAGGGGAGAACAUAUGUCGAAGUAACUGUGCACAUCGUGACGGUACUUAAUCAGAAAGCCACGGCUAACUACGUG
Molecule: ribosomal RNA, 497 nt
Filed under: uncultured bacterium
Lineage: Bacteria
Description: partial 16S ribosomal RNA
Rfam family: Bacterial small subunit ribosomal RNA
Source: RNAcentral